GGCUGGUCUGAAAGUAGUGAGUUAUCUCAAUUGAUUGUUCACAGUCAGUUACAGAUCGAACUUCUUAUUCUACUCUUUCCCUCCUUCUCACGACUGCUUUCGACUAGUCUUUU
Molecule: unclassified non-coding RNA, 113 nt
Organism: Chlorocebus sabaeus (green monkey)
Lineage: Eukaryota; Metazoa; Chordata; Mammalia; Primates; Cercopithecidae
Rfam family: Y RNA
About the family: Y RNAs are components of the Ro ribonucleoprotein particle (Ro RNP), in association with Ro60 and La proteins. The Y RNAs and Ro60 and La proteins are well conserved, but the function of the Ro RNP is not known.
Source: Ensembl